This 1203-nucleotide ribosomal RNA is filed under the name Triticum aestivum (bread wheat). RNAcentral's name for it is "partial small subunit ribosomal RNA". Lineage: Eukaryota; Viridiplantae; Streptophyta; Magnoliopsida; Poales; Poaceae. The record is from RNAcentral.
AUGCUCCGGCGCCGAGGCCGCGUCCUCAUCCAGAUGCUCUCCACUCCCUCCGCCGCCACCACCUCCCCUCUCCACCGCCCCAUAUCCGCCGCCGCCCGACCACAGCUACACGCUCGGAGCUGCAUCCUCUCCUCUCCCCGCCGCCUCCUCUCCGGCAUCUCUCCAACAACCGGGUUCGCCGUGGAGGAGUACCUCGUCGGCACCUGCGGCCUCACCCGACCGCAGGCACUCAAGGCCUCCCCCAAACUCGCCCACCUCAGGUCCGCCGCCAACCCCGACGCCGUCCUCGCCUUCCUCGCCGGCCUCGGCCUCUCCGGCGCCGACGUCGCCGCCGUCAUCGCCCGGGACCCCAAGUUCCUCUGCGCCGGCGUGGACAAGGGCCUGUCCCCCAUCGUCGCGGGGCUCUCCGGCCUCGGUUUGUCACAUUCCGAGAUCGCGCGCCUCCUCUUGCAGUCCCCCAACAAUUUCCGUUCCAGAUCCAUCGUCCCCAAGCUGCAGUACUACCUGCGCCUCUUCGGCUCCUCCGAGAGGCUGCUCCGUGCCAUCAACUUCAACACUGCCCUCCUCGCCUACAAGAGCAAGGUGGAGCUCAAUGUCGCGUUCCUGCGUCAGUGUGGGUUCGGCGAUUGCGAUAUGGCCAAGUUGUGCAGCUCGAUACCGAGGAUGGUCACCACCGACCUGGAGCGUGUUCAGAGAAUGGUGGCAUUGACCGAAGCUCUCGGUGUGCCCCGGGGAUCUGGGAUGUUCAGGCAUGCUCUGAGUGCCGUCGCAUUCCGCGACGAGAAGCAGAUCGCAGCCAAAGUGGAUCACCUGAAGAAGACGUUAGGGUGGUCGGAUGCCGAGGUGGGCAUUGCUCUGCCUAAGGCCCCGUUUUUGCUCGCCAAGUCGAGCGAAUCGCUGCAGCACAGCUCCGAGUUCCUCAUGUCUGAGGUGGGGUUGGAACCCGCGUACAUUGCUCAGCGGCCGGUAAUUCUCUGUUACAGCCUAGAGGGCCGGAUGAAACCUCGGUACUACGUUGUAAAGUUUCUCAAGGAAAAUGGAUUGCUCAAGCACGACCCGAGCUACUAUACUGUUUUCAAGGAGACCGAGAAGUAUUUCGUGGGGAAGUUCAUAUACCCUCACAAGGAAGCUGCACCACACCUUGCUGAAGAUUAUGCUGCCUCUUGCGGAGGGGAAGUGCCCACUAGAUUCAAAUUUACAUGA